AGAUUUGUGGGCAGAGUGCAGAUGACUUCGCCUACAGUAUGUGCAAAUUAGGCUAUCGUGUUCAAAACCCAUAUUAAGAUUGCUUUUUAUAAAUCAUGUUUUGUUGUUGCAUUUGACUGCCAAAAAUGCUGUCAUUUCCUUAAUAUGUGAUGUCAUAGCUCAACAUGUGGGAGAAGUGCUCAGGGAUGAUACAAGUUUCCCACUAGUAAUUACCAGUUGGAGGGCCAUUCAACUGGAUUUUUCCCAGUCAUAUGAGGUCUGCUGCACCAUCGCUGUGGACAUGACAGGGGAUUAGACAGAUGAACAACAGGCACCAGAUGCCCAAGCCUCGAAACCAGAAACAUGUGGAGACAUCGUCACUUAUCAUUUUGAGUAAAUGCCUCUUCCAUCAUCCCUGGUCAGUGGAGUCAUAAGUAGCCCUCCCCUCACGCCAAGAGAUUGAUGGUGACCUUAGCUAUGGUUUAUCGAGCGUCCACCUUCUCUUCGCUCUUGACAAACCACUGACAAAGUAGUUAGUCCAUCAUUGUUCUCAUGGAUCUCGAGUGGACAAAUCCUCCAGGUUAGGUCUGAGUGUAAUCAUCUUUCCUCAAAGUUGAUAAUUCCAUACUUUGAUAGACUUUUAUUGAGAUCCUCCACCUGAAGAUCUGAAGGGUCGUCACC
Molecule: long non-coding RNA, 660 nt
Organism: Oncorhynchus keta (chum salmon)
Lineage: Eukaryota; Metazoa; Chordata; Actinopteri; Salmoniformes; Salmonidae
Exons: 4
Source: RefSeq, a predicted model, not a curated record